UUAACUGACGCUGAGGCACGAAAGCGUGGGUAGCAAACAGGAUUAGAUACCCUGGUAGUCCACGCUGUAAACGAUGAUUACUAGGUGUGGGUGGACUGACCCCAUCCGUGCCGCAGUUAACACAAUAAGUAAUCCACCUGGGGAGUACGACCGCAAGGUUGAAACUCAAAGGAAUUGACGGGGGCCCGCACAAGCAGUGGAGUAUGUGGUUUAAUUCGAAGCAACGCGAAGAACCUUACCAGGUCUUGACAUCGAGUGACGUACCUAGAGAUAGGUAUUUUCUUCGGAACACAAAGACAGGUGGUGCAUGGUUGUCGUCAGCUCGUGUCGUGAGAUGUUGGGUUAAGUCCCGCAACGAGCGCAACCCUUGCUAUUAGUUGCUACGCAAGAGCACUCUAAUAGGACUGCCGUUGACAAAACGGAGGAAGGUGGGGACGACGUCAAAUCAUCAUGCCCCUUAUGACCUGGGCUACACACGUACUACAAUGGCCGCCAACAGAGGGAAGCAAUACAGCGAUGUGGAGCAAACCCCUAAAAGCGGUCCCAGUUCAGAUUGUAGGCUGCAACCCGCCUACAUGAAGUCGGAAUUGCUAGUAAUCG
RNAcentral lists this ribosomal RNA (600 nucleotides) under uncultured bacterium. Its description in RNAcentral is "bacterial SSU rRNA". It matches the Rfam family "Bacterial small subunit ribosomal RNA", at positions 736 to 1344 of the family's 1533-position model. The record is from RNAcentral.